AAAAUCAUGAUGAAUGAGGUUUAUAUAACAAUUCCAUUAUACAAAAAUAAAAGGUCUGUAUUGUGAUUUCAAAGCUACUAAACAACAGUGAAUUGUAAUUCAUUCUGGUAAAACUACUGCCAUUCUUCCAAGUAAAACUCACAGUGUUAGGCUGAGAACUGUAUAAAAUGUAGGGAAGGGACCCCUCCUGCAUAAGACUUCAUAAUCACAGCUCAAACUCCUCGUCUUGAAGAGCCAAUGCUGCAGCCUCUUCUUCCUCAUCAUCAAGAACGAAGUACUCAU
RNAcentral lists this unclassified non-coding RNA (282 nucleotides) under Hevea brasiliensis (rubber tree). The record is from RNAcentral. Lineage: Eukaryota; Viridiplantae; Streptophyta; Magnoliopsida; Malpighiales; Euphorbiaceae.